GAAAUGCGAUAAGUAGUGUGAAUUGCAGAAUUCAGUGAAUCAUCGAAUCUUUGAACGCAUAUUGCGCCCCUCGGUAUUCCGUGGGGCAUGCCUGUUCGAGCGUCAUCUACACCCUCAAGCUCUGCUUGGUGUUGGGCGUCUGUCCCGCCUUCGCGCGUGGACUCGCCCCAAAUGCAUUGGCAGCGGUCCUUGCCCCCUCCCGCGCAGCACAUUGCGCUUCUCGAGGCUGCAGCGGCCCGCGUCCAACAAGCUAAACCCCCCCGUCUUUAACCUCGGAUCAGGUAGGGAUACCCACUAAACUUAAGC
Molecule: unclassified non-coding RNA, 306 nt
Filed under: plant metagenome
Description: partial contains 5.8S ribosomal RNA, internal transcribed spacer 2, and large subunit ribosomal RNA
Rfam family: 5.8S ribosomal RNA (bases 1-105)
Source: RNAcentral